GGGGAUAUGGUUUAGUGGUAUAAUGCUUCUUUAGCACUUGAGUUUCGUUAAGUUACUCUGGUAAUAUAGAAGAGGUCCGGCGUUCGAUUCGCCGUUUCUCCA
Pseudogymnoascus sp. 23342-1-I1 is the source of this 102-nucleotide non-coding RNA. Lineage: Eukaryota; Fungi; Ascomycota; Leotiomycetes; Thelebolales; Thelebolaceae. The record is from the annotation of a GenBank genome assembly.